Molecule: ribosomal RNA, 507 nt
Filed under: uncultured bacterium
Lineage: Bacteria
Description: partial 16S ribosomal RNA
Rfam family: Bacterial small subunit ribosomal RNA
Source: RNAcentral
GACGAACGCUGGCGGCGUGCCUAAUACAUGCAAGUCGAACGCAUUUUCUUUCACCGUAGCUUGCUACACCGAAAGAAAAUGAGUGGCGAACGGGUGAGUAACACGUGGGUAACCUGCCCAUCAGCGGGGGAUAACACUUGGAAACAGGUGCUAAUACCGCAUAAUUCCAUUUACCGCAUGGUAGAUGGGUGAAAGGCGCUUUUGCGUCACUGAUGGAUGGACCCGCGGUGCAUUAGCUAGUUGGUGGGGUAACGGCCUACCAAGGCUGCGAUACAUAGCCGACCUGAGAGGGUGAUCGGCCACACUGGGACUGUGACACGGCCCAGACUCCUACGGGAGGCAGCAGUAGGGAAUCUUCGGCAAUGGACGCAAGUCUGACCGAGCAACGCCGCGUGAGUGAAGAAGGUUUUCGGAUCGUAAAACUCUGUUGUUAGAGAAGAACAAGGAUGAGAGUGGAAAGUUCAUCCCUUGACGGUAGCUAACCAGAAAGCCACGGCUAACUACGUG